RNAcentral lists this ribosomal RNA (494 nucleotides) under uncultured bacterium. Its description in RNAcentral is "bacterial SSU rRNA". It matches the Rfam family "Bacterial small subunit ribosomal RNA", at positions 28 to 507 of the family's 1533-position model. The record is from RNAcentral.
GACGAACGCUGGCGGCGUGGAUUAGGCAUGCAAGUCGGACGGUAGGGCUUUAUCGUAAGAUAGAGUUUGAGAGUGGCGAACGGGUGAGUAACACGUAGGAAUCUACCCUUAAGACGGGGACAACCCAGGGAAACUUGGGCUAAUACCGGAUGAGAGUGCGAGAGAUUGCAUUUAAAAGGAUGGCGAAAGUUGUCGCUUAGGGAUGAGCCUGCGGUCUAUUAGUUAGUUGGUGAGGUAAGAGCUCACCAAGGCGAUGAUAGAUAGGCGGCCUUAACGGGUGGUCGCCCACACUGGGAUUGAGAUACGGCCCAGACUCCUACGGGAGGCAGCAGUCGAGAAUAGUCUACAAUGGCCGGAAGGCUGAUAGUGCGACGCCGCGUGAACGAGGGAGCCCUUCGGGGUGUAAAGUUCUUUUAUAUGUGAGCAGUGCUUCUUAUAUUAACAGUAUGGGGAGAGAGAUAUUAGCAUAUGAAUAAGCAACGGCUAACUCCGUG